GUUUUAAUAGUUUAAUAAAAACAUUGGUCUUGUAAACCAAAAUUAAGACAAUCUUUUAAAACU
Molecule: transfer RNA, 63 nt
Filed under: Ocellarnaca braueri
Lineage: Eukaryota; Metazoa; Arthropoda; Insecta; Orthoptera; Gryllacrididae
Description: tRNA-Thr
Rfam family: tRNA
About the family: Transfer RNA (tRNA) molecules are approximately 80 nucleotides in length. Their secondary structure includes four short double-helical elements and three loops (D, anti-codon, and T loops).
Source: RNAcentral